RNAcentral lists this long non-coding RNA (1105 nucleotides) under Serinus canaria (Common canary). Its description in RNAcentral is "lncRNA (ENSSCAG00000001937.1)". Lineage: Eukaryota; Metazoa; Chordata; Aves; Passeriformes; Fringillidae. The record is from RNAcentral.
GCUUCUACCUCAAGGACAUGGAGCGCCUCAAGGAGGUGAGGGGACCCUGCCAGGAUGUCCCCAAAGUGUCCCCACCACCCCUCCGCCACCACCUCAUCCCCCCGGCUGUCCCCGCCCGUGUCCCCGCCCAGCGCGGCUCACGGCGCGUCUCUGUGUCCCUGUGUGCUCGUGGUGUGGCCGUGUUGUCCCUUUGGUGUCCCUUGUGUGUCCCUUCCGCAGCUCCUGCUCAUCCUGUCCCUGUCGCAGAGCCUCGCGCGGCAGCUCCGGGAGGCUCUGCUCCCCUCCAUCCUCCUCCACCUCCACCUGUCCCUCAUCUUCCUCAGGCGCCUCCUGCGCUUUUGCUGGACCCUGGGAGUAUCCAAAGUAGGAGCGCGGGGACACCCAGGGGACACCCAGGGGACACCCAGGUGUCCUCAACCCGUCCAGGGUGGCGGUGGCGCCGCCCCAUGGGGGUGUCAGCGAUGGGCGGGGGUCACAGCAGAGGGGACACUGGGGGGGGGGGUNACGAGGGAGGGGCGGGGACACCACGGGGGACAGCAGAGAGGAGCAGGGACAGCAUGAGGACACCACAGAGGGGAGCGGGGACACUGGGGGGACAUUGGGGACACCACAAGUGGAGCAGGGGCACCACGAGAGGAGCAGGGACAUUGUGGGGACAUCAGGAGCAGGGACAGCACAAGGGGAGCAGGGACACUGUGGGGACAUCAGGGAGGAGCAGGGACAGCAUGAGGACACAGUGGGGACAUCCGGGAGGAGCAGGAACACCACAAGGGGACCAGGGACACUGUGGGGACAUCCGGGAGGAGCAGGGACACUGCAAGGGGAGCAGGGACACUGAGGGGACAUCAGGGAGGAACAGGGACACCACAAGGGGAUCAGGGACACUGUGGGGACAUCCGGGAGGAGCAGGGACACUGCAAGGGGAGCAGGAACAUUGUGGGGACAUCAGGGAGGAACAGGGACAGCAUGAGGACACUGUGGGGACAUCAGGGAGGAGCAGGAGCACCACAAUGGGAGCAGGGACACUGUGGGGACAUCAGGGAGGAGCAGGAGCACCACAAUGGGAGCAGGGACACUGUGGGGACAUCAGGAGCAGGGACACCGC